RNAcentral lists this ribosomal RNA (253 nucleotides) under uncultured bacterium. Its description in RNAcentral is "partial 16S ribosomal RNA". It matches the Rfam family "Bacterial small subunit ribosomal RNA", at positions 524 to 776 of the family's 1533-position model. The record is from RNAcentral.
UACGUAGGGGGCUAGCGUUGUCCGGAAUCAUUGGGCGUAAAGAGCGUGUAGGCGGCCCGGUAAGUCCGCUGUGAAAGUCAAAGGCUCAACCUUUGAAUGUCAGUGGAUACUGCCGGGCUAGAGUCCGGAAGAGGCGAGUGGAACUCCUGGUGUAGCGGUGGAAUGCGCAGAUAUCAGGAAGAACACCAACGGCGAAGGCAGCUCGCUGGGACGGUACUGACGCUGAGACGCGAAAGCGUGGGGAGCAAACAGG